UUGUUCUUAUCGGGGAAUAUAUUCAAUAUUCCCCUCUAAUCAAUUUCCGUUUAAUAAUCCCCUCUAAUAUUCACCUGCAGUUAAUAAUCCCCCUAAUAUUCACCUGCAAUGUCUUUGCAGCACAAAAAAAUGAGAAAAAACAACAUCACGAAGGCAAUAUGGCAUUAAGAAUUAUUUCUAUUCUGACUCAUUAACGCGACCUCGCAAUGUGAAAAAUAAGUACG
This 224-nucleotide long non-coding RNA is filed under the name Paramuricea clavata. The record is from RNAcentral. Lineage: Eukaryota; Metazoa; Cnidaria; Anthozoa; Malacalcyonacea; Plexauridae.